UAGAGUUUGACUCCUGGCUCAGGACGAACGCUGGCGGCGUGCUUAACACAUGCAAGUCGAACGGAAAGGCCCUGCUUUUGUGGGGUGCUCGAGUGGCGAACGGGUGAGUAACACGUGAGUAACCUGCCCUUGACUUUGGGAUAACUUCAGGAAACUGGGGCUAAUACCGGAUAGGAGCUCCUGCUGCAUGGUGGGGGUUGGAAAGUUUCGGCGGUUGGGGAUGGACUCGCGGCUUAUCAGCUUGUUGGUGGGGUAGUGGCUUACCAAGGCUUUGACGGGUAGCCGGCCUGAGAGGGUGACCGGCCACAUUGGGACUGAGAUACGGCCCAGACUCCUACGGAAGGCAGCAGUGGGGAAUAUUGCACAAUGGGCGGAAGCCUGAUGCAGCAACGCCGCGUGCGGGAUGACGGCCUUCGGGUUGUAAACCGCUUUCGCCUGUGACGAAGCGUGAGUGACGGUAAUGGGUAAAGAAGCACCGGCUAACUACGUG
RNAcentral lists this ribosomal RNA (490 nucleotides) under uncultured Propionibacterium sp. Its description in RNAcentral is "bacterial SSU rRNA". It matches the Rfam family "Bacterial small subunit ribosomal RNA", at positions 1 to 507 of the family's 1533-position model. The record is from RNAcentral. Lineage: Bacteria; Bacillati; Actinomycetota; Actinomycetes; Propionibacteriales; Propionibacteriaceae.